This 484-nucleotide ribosomal RNA is filed under the name uncultured bacterium. RNAcentral's name for it is "partial 16S ribosomal RNA". It matches the Rfam family "Bacterial small subunit ribosomal RNA", at positions 28 to 523 of the family's 1533-position model. The record is from RNAcentral.
GACGAACGCUGGCGGCGUGCUUAACACAUGCAAGUCGAACGAUGAAGCCGGAGCUUGCUCUGGUGAAUUAGUGGCGAACGGGUGAGUAACACGUGAGUAACCUGCCCUUGACUCUGGGAUAACUGCUAGAAAUGGUAGCUAAUACCGGAUACGACCCUCGGAGGCAUCUCCAGGGGGUGGGAAGAAUUUCGGUCAAGGAAGGACUCGCGGCCUAUCAGCUAGUUGGUGAGGUAACGGCUCACCAAGGCGACGACGGGUAGCCGGCCUGAGAGGGUGACCGGCCACGCUGGGACUGAGACACGGCCCAGAGUCCUACGGGAGGCAGCGGUGGGGAAUAUUGCACAAUGGGCGCAAGCCUGAUGCAGCAACGCCGCGGGAGGGAUGACGGCCUUCGGGUUGUAAACCUCUUUUAGCAGGGAAGAAGCGAAAGUGACGGUACCUGCAGAAAAAGCACCGGCUAACUACGUGCCAGCCGCCGCUGUAA